RNAcentral lists this unclassified non-coding RNA (532 nucleotides) under Hevea brasiliensis (rubber tree). Lineage: Eukaryota; Viridiplantae; Streptophyta; Magnoliopsida; Malpighiales; Euphorbiaceae. The record is from RNAcentral.
UUAACCAAAGUAGUAUGCUUAAAUCAUGUUAUUUAUUUAUUCAUUUUAAAAUCAUGUUAACACUGUUCUUAGCUUGAGAGCAAUAGCAAAAAAUGUGUGCGCUUAAUUUCCAAUUUACACUUGCCCAAAAUAACUUCAAAUAUAACAUGGAAAUUUAAUGGAACAAUUAUGUGUAAAAUUGUUUAUGGUGUGCGUGGAUUUUUAUUAAAGAGAUGGAAUUCUGUUGUCACAUUAUGCAUGAAAGAGUAAAUAGGUUUGGGAAUGGCUAUACUCCAACUUUGUAAUGUUUAACGUGAAGUAUGAAACCCAUAUAGCCCGCCUUACUAAUUUGGGAUUUAGAUGUAGUUGAGUUGUUCUAUGGGUGGUCUACUUGUCUUGGCAAAAAUGCAGAAAUUUUGCUAUUUGGCUAAUAGUGGUAUCUCCUUUGAGAUGCAUCUGAGCUGAGUUGUGCACUGUAGAGCAUCUGAAUUUGUUUGUAACAUGUUUGAAAUACUAUGGUGAAUAACACUGUUGAAAGAAGAAGAAGAAGAAG